Molecule: transfer RNA, 64 nt
Filed under: Dipodomys ordii (Ord's kangaroo rat)
Lineage: Eukaryota; Metazoa; Chordata; Mammalia; Rodentia; Heteromyidae
Rfam family: tRNA
About the family: Transfer RNA (tRNA) molecules are approximately 80 nucleotides in length. Their secondary structure includes four short double-helical elements and three loops (D, anti-codon, and T loops).
Source: Rfam by way of RNAcentral
GGUGGCUCAGUGGUAGAGUGCUUGCCUUGCAUGCAUGAGGCCCUGAGUUCAAUCCUUAGUACCA